Molecule: ribosomal RNA, 1372 nt
Filed under: uncultured bacterium
Lineage: Bacteria
Description: bacterial SSU rRNA
Rfam family: Bacterial small subunit ribosomal RNA
Source: RNAcentral
GAUGAACGCUGGCGGCGUGCCUAAUACAUGCAAGUCGAGCGAACGGACGAGAAGCUUGCUUUUCUGAUGUUAGCGGCGGACGGGUGAGUAACACGUGGAUAACCUACCUAUAAGACUGGGAUAACUUCGGGAAACCGGAGCUAAUACCGGAUAAUAUUUUGAACCGCAUGGUUCAAAAGUGAAAGACGGUCUUGCUGUCACUUAUAGAUGGAUCCGCGCUGCAUUAGCUAGUUGGUAAGGUAACGGCUUACCAAGGCAACGAUGCAUAGCCGACCUGAGAGGGUGAUCGGCCACACUGGAACUGAGACACGGUCCAGACUCCUACGGGAGGCAGCAGUAGGGAAUCUUCCGCAAUGGGCGAAAGCCUGACGGAGCAACGCCGCGUGAGUGAUGAAGGUCUUCGGAUCGUAAAACUCUGUUAUUAGGGAAGAACAUAUGUGUAAGUAACUGUGCACAUCUUGACGGUACCUAAUCAGAAAGCCACGGCUAACUACGUGCCAGCAGCCGCGGUAAUACGUAGGUGGCAAGCGUUAUCCGGAAUUAUUGGGCGUAAAGCGCGCGUAGGCGGUUUUUUAAGUCUGAUGUGAAAGCCCACGGCUCAACCGUGGAGGGUCAUUGGAAACUGGAAAACUUGAGUGCAGAAGAGGAAAGUGGAAUUCCAUGUGUAGCGGUGAAAUGCGCAGAGAUAUGGAGGAACACCAGUGGCGAAGGCGACUUUCUGGUCUGUAACUGACGCUGAUGUGCGAAAGCGUGGGGAUCAAACAGGAUUAGAUACCCUGGUAGUCCACGCCGUAAACGAUGAGUGCUAAGUGUUAGGGGGUUUCCGCCCCUUAGUGCUGCAGCUAACGCAUUAAGCACUCCGCCUGGGGAGUACGACCGCAAGGUUGAAACUCAAAGGAAUUGACGGGGACCCGCACAAGCGGCGGAGCAUGUGGUUUAAUUCGAAGCAACGCGAAGAACCUUACCAAAUCUUGACAUCCUUUGACAACUCUAGAGAUAGAGCCUUCCCCUUCGGGGGACAAAGUGACAGGUGGUGCAUGGUUGUCGUCAGCUCGUGUCGUGAGAUGUUGGGUUAAGUCCCGCAACGAGCGCAACCCUUAAGCUUAGUUGCCAUCAUUAAGUUGGGCACUCUAAGUUGACUGCCGGUGACAAACCGGAGGAAGGUGGGGAUGACGUCAAAUCAUCAUGCCCCUUAUGAUUUGGGCUACACACGUGCUACAAUGGACAAUACAAAGGGCAGCGAAACCGCGAGGUCAAGCAAAUCCCAUAAAGUUGUUCUCAGUUCGGAUUGUAGUCUGCAACUCGACUACAUGAAGCUGGAAUCGCUAGUAAUCGUAGAUCAGCAUGCUACGGUGAAUACGUUCCCGGGUCU